Long non-coding RNA from Ornithodoros turicata, 1272 nucleotides. RefSeq lists it as uncharacterized. The transcript is spliced from 3 exons. The record is from RefSeq and is a predicted model, not a curated record. NCBI's taxonomy places the organism in Eukaryota, Metazoa, Arthropoda, Arachnida, Ixodida, Argasidae.
UGCGGGACCAGAUAGACGUUUUGGCUGUACAUGAGGUAAUAACGGACCCCAUUGCUAUGUUACUUUAUCGUCUUCACUUGCGGAUGGGCUUCGCACCGGGACUGGGAACUUAGGUUUCCACAACAUGCGUCCAACGUUGGGGCCAUGAGCUCCGUUCCACGGCGAGGAACAAGCAGCACGUUUUCUUUUCCGACUGUUGUUUUUAUUGUUGACUGAUACGUUUUAUUUGUAGGAAACCGCCGUGUAGUCUAUAGUCUUUUUCGAGAAUAUCAUUCUUGUUUUUUUGGAUUGGUUGCUUGUUUUGUUGUUUUUCUUAGUGCUUUGUAGCUCCAACCCGGUGCCCGAGUAGUCUGAGCAACCACGAAUCGUACGCCACCACGCCCGUACGGCCUUCGUAGGGGAACGAAGGGUCUUCCACACGAUCACUCGGGACUCUGAGGAUAACCCAGGAGACAACUCCUCGGCGUCGACUGGACGUUGCAACCCGGGCGGUUACGGAGAUGAUGGACGUCGCAAGGUUGGGCCGGGCUCGCCAGUACAACCGUGGACGCCGGAAUCACCUACAGCGUUGGUGUCCUUGUUCUUCGACGAGCUCAUCCGGUUAGUGAUGCGUCACGGGGCUUUGCUGCUUCGCUCGCAGAUAGGUGGAACGGCCCCUUCCAGAUAAGGCGAAGAGCCAAAUCAUCAGCCUCUCCUCAAGACAUGGACCAGAAUCCCGCGUCGGGACCGGUUUCUGGACGCUAGUGUGCGCCGCAGCAGGCGGCGCACAUAUCUCUACAAGGCCAAAGAGAUCCAGGGUUGGAGCGGCUUCCUCAUUGGUCUGUUCCAAGCCGCCAGUCUCGUCAGCAGUGAGAGCGGACUGGAAUUGAUGCCGCCAUUCGGUGGCAAAGGUAGACGGUAUUCUCUGACAGUCGGCCAGUUUGAUGGACUUCGCAGCCCAGGUCUCUUCGCGGAGCAGACUCAGCAGGGGUAACUCCAAGUAUCGCGCUAGCUAGCAUUUUUCACUGAAUGAUGUACUACAUUGUACGUCGUGUGUUCCAGGUAUCCUGUUUCUUCUGUUGAUAUUUUUCUUCUGUUCCUUUUUUUUUUUUUUUUUUUUUGCCAAGUAAUGUACCCUCAUGCAAUGCCUUUGAGGCAACGUCAUAAAUAAAGCCAACCGACGCCCGCUACCCAUUUCUGAAUAAACGAGACUGUUGUGCCCGACUUGCCUGGUCCCCGAAGUCAACCGCAGGAGCCAUCGUCGCGGAGCCCUCCAUUUGGGAAAAAAUAAAU